Molecule: long non-coding RNA, 246 nt
Filed under: Prunus persica (peach)
Lineage: Eukaryota; Viridiplantae; Streptophyta; Magnoliopsida; Rosales; Rosaceae
Description: long non-coding RNA (PPER_LNC003229)
Source: RNAcentral
AACUUUUGUGCUGGUUUGAAUUUCCGUUAAAAAAUAAAGCCGUUUCUCAUGUUCCAAAUGCCCCAGCAAAUAUAUGCAAACAUUCCUUGUUCUUCCUUACUUGAGGAGAGCUGUAAUGCAUGCAAUAGAUCUCUAAAAGAAUUGACCUUCCACAGCUCACAUACAUUCCCCCAUACUAAAUAGUGAAUUCAAACCAACAACAUUUGAUUCCCCUCCACAUAAUUUAUCCUUCUCUGUACAUGCCAG